Molecule: ribosomal RNA, 299 nt
Filed under: Enterobacter roggenkampii
Lineage: Bacteria; Pseudomonadati; Pseudomonadota; Gammaproteobacteria; Enterobacterales; Enterobacteriaceae
Also listed under: 1 other name
Description: partial 23S ribosomal RNA
Rfam family: Bacterial large subunit ribosomal RNA
Source: RNAcentral
GCCCCGGUAAACGGCGGCCGUAACUAUAACGGUCCUAAGGUAGCGAAAUUCCUUGUCGGGUAAGUUCCGACCUGCACGAAUGGCGUAAUGAUGGCCAGGCUGUCUCCACCCGAGACUCAGUGAAAUUGAACUCGCUGUGAAGAUGCAGUGUACCCGCGGCAAGACGGAAAGACCCCGUGAACCUUUACUAUAGCUUGACACUGAACACUGGUCCUUGAUGUGUAGGAUAGGUGGGAGGCUUUGAAGUGUGGACGCCAGUCUGCAUGGAGCCGUCCUUGAAAUACCACCCUUUAAUGGCU